RNAcentral lists this microRNA (20 nucleotides) under Mus musculus (house mouse). Its description in RNAcentral is "mmu-miR-7083-3p". The record is from miRBase by way of RNAcentral. Lineage: Eukaryota; Metazoa; Chordata; Mammalia; Rodentia; Muridae.
UCUGCUCUCCUGGACCCCAG